This is a small nuclear RNA of Panthera leo (lion), 122 nucleotides long. Its record names the gene U4. It matches the Rfam family "U4 spliceosomal RNA". From Rfam's summary of the family: U4 small nuclear RNA (U4 snRNA) is a component of the major U2-dependent spliceosome. The record is from Ensembl. NCBI's taxonomy places the organism in Eukaryota, Metazoa, Chordata, Mammalia, Carnivora, Felidae.
AGCUUUGCACAGUGGCAGUAUUGUAGCCAAUGAGGUUUAUCCGAGGCGCGCUUAUUGCUAAUAGAAUGCAUAUGUACUGGAAGAAGUUUUUUUUUCCUUUUUUUUUUAAACUGAAGAAUUGA